UGAGCAAUCUGCCCUUCACAUCGGAAUAACCAUUGGAAACGAUGGCUAAUACCGAAUAUGACUUCGGAUCGCAUGAUCUGAAGUGGAAAGCUCCGGCGGUGAAGGAUGAGCUCGCGGCCUAUCAGCUUGUUGGUGAGGUAACGGCUCACCAAGGCGACGACGGGUAGCUGGUCUGAGAGGAUGGCCAGCCACAUUGGGACUGAGACACCGGCAGA
This 215-nucleotide ribosomal RNA is filed under the name uncultured bacterium. RNAcentral describes it as "partial 16S ribosomal RNA". It matches the Rfam family "Bacterial small subunit ribosomal RNA", at positions 118 to 334 of the family's 1533-position model. The record is from RNAcentral.